Molecule: ribosomal RNA, 434 nt
Filed under: uncultured bacterium
Lineage: Bacteria
Description: partial 16S ribosomal RNA
Rfam family: Bacterial small subunit ribosomal RNA
Source: RNAcentral
AGCGAACGCUGGCGGCAGGCCUAACACAUGCAAGUCGAACGAACCUUUCGGGGUUAGUGGCGGCCGGGUGAGUAACACGUGGGAACGUGCCCUUAGGUUCGGAAUAACUCAGGGAAACUUGUGCUAAUACCGAAUGUGCCCUUCGGGGGAAAGAUUUAUCGCCUUUAGAGCGGCCCGCGUCUGAUUAGCUAGUUGGUUGAGGUAAUGGCUCACCAAGGCGACGAUCAGUAGCUGGUCUGAGAGGAUGAUCAGCCACAUUGGGACUGGGACACGGCCCAAACUCCUACGGGAGGCAGCAGUGGGUAAUCGUGCGAAAUGGGCGAAAGCCUGACGCAGCCAUGCCGCGUGAAUGAUGAAGGUCUUAGGAUUGUAAAAUUCUUUCACCGGGGACGAUAAUGACGGUACCCGGAGAAGAAGCCCCGGCUAACUUCGUG